RNAcentral lists this ribosomal RNA (467 nucleotides) under uncultured bacterium. RNAcentral's name for it is "partial 16S ribosomal RNA". It matches the Rfam family "Bacterial small subunit ribosomal RNA", at positions 28 to 507 of the family's 1533-position model. The record is from RNAcentral.
GAUGAACGCUGACAGAAUGCUUAACACAUGCAAGUCAACUUGAAUUUGGGUUUUUAACUUCGGUUUGGGUGGCGGACGGGUGAGUAACGCGUAAAGAACUUGCCUCACAGCUAGGGACAACAUUUGGAAACGAAUGCUAAUACCUAAUAUUAUGAUAAUAGGGCAUCCUAUAAUUAUGAAAGCUAUAAGCGCUGUGAGAGAGCUUUGCGUCCCAUUAGCUAGUUGGAGAGGUAACGGCUCACCAAGGCGAUGAUGGGUAGCCGGCCUGAGAGGGUGAUCGGCCACAAGGGGACUGAGACACGGCCCUUACUCCUACGGGAGGCAGCAGUGGGGAAUAUUGGACAAUGGACCAAGAGUCUGAUCCAGCAAUUCUGUGUGCACGAUGAAGUUUUUCGGAAUGUAAAGUGCUUUCAGUUGGGAAGAAAGAAAUGACGGUACCAACAGAAGAAGUGACGGCUAAAUACGUG